CCUACGGGAGGCAGCAGUAGGGAAUAUUGCUCAAUGGGGGAAACCCUGAAGCAGCAACGCCGCGUGGAGGAUGAAGGUUUUCGGAUUGUAAACUCCUUUUGUUAGAGAAGAUAAUGACGGUAUCUAACGAAUAAGCACCGGCUAACUCCGUGCCAGCAGCCGCGGUAAUACGGAGGGUGCAAGCGUUAAUCGGAAUCACUGGGCGUAAAGAGCGCGUAGGCGGGAUAGCAAGUCAGAUGUGAAAUCCUAUGGCUUAACCAUAGAACUGCAUUUGAAACUGUUAUUCUAGAGUAUGGGAGAGGUAGGUGGAAUUCUAGGUGUAGGGGUAAAAUGCGUAGAGAUCAAGAGGAAUACUCAUUGCGAAGGCGACCUGCUAGAACAUAACUGACGCUGAGGCGCGAAAGCGUGGGGAGCAAACAGGAUUAGAUACCCUAGUAGUC
This 440-nucleotide ribosomal RNA is filed under the name uncultured bacterium. RNAcentral's name for it is "partial 16S ribosomal RNA". It matches the Rfam family "Bacterial small subunit ribosomal RNA", at positions 338 to 795 of the family's 1533-position model. The record is from RNAcentral.